Molecule: transfer RNA, 75 nt
Filed under: Trichonephila inaurata madagascariensis
Lineage: Eukaryota; Metazoa; Arthropoda; Arachnida; Araneae; Nephilidae
Rfam family: tRNA
About the family: Transfer RNA (tRNA) molecules are approximately 80 nucleotides in length. Their secondary structure includes four short double-helical elements and three loops (D, anti-codon, and T loops).
Source: Rfam by way of RNAcentral
GGCGCCGUGGCUCAAGUUGGUUAAAGCGCCUGUCUAGUAAACAGGAGAUCACGAGUUCGAAUCUCGUCGGUGCCU